GACUCUCGGCAACGGAUAUCUCGGCUCUCGCAUCGAUGAAGAACGUAGCGAAAUGCGAUACUUGGUGUGAAUUGCAGAAUCCCGUGAACCAUCGAGUCUUUGAACGCAAGUUGCGCCCGAAGCCUUCGGGCUGAGGGCACGCCUGCCUGGGCGUCACGCAUCGCGUCGCCCCCCACCUC
RNAcentral lists this ribosomal RNA (179 nucleotides) under Ruellia maya. RNAcentral describes it as "5.8S ribosomal RNA". The stretch from base 1 to 156 matches the Rfam family "5.8S ribosomal RNA". Rfam says of the family: 5.8S ribosomal RNA (5.8S rRNA) is a component of the large subunit of the eukaryotic ribosome. It is transcribed by RNA polymerase I as part of the 45S precursor that also contains 18S and 28S rRNA. Lineage: Eukaryota; Viridiplantae; Streptophyta; Magnoliopsida; Lamiales; Acanthaceae. The record is from RNAcentral. RNAcentral also lists the same sequence under 1 other name.